Long non-coding RNA from Notolabrus celidotus (New Zealand spotty), 1138 nucleotides. RefSeq lists it as uncharacterized. The transcript has 2 exons. NCBI's taxonomy places the organism in Eukaryota, Metazoa, Chordata, Actinopteri, Labriformes, Labridae. The record is from RefSeq and is a predicted model, not a curated record.
UCCUGGAGGAGAUGAUGCGACAAGAAGGAGAGCGGCUCAGAAAUCGACGCUCUUUAAUUCUGGGCAUCCCUUCAUUUUCAUUUCGACGGCUCCUUCUGAAAUGAUCUUCUCCUUCAGUCCUCAUGUAAGAUUCACUAAUUGGCUUUUUAAUUAUUAUCUUAAAUCAUCUGAUUCUGCUUGUUUCUCUUUGAAGUGUUUGCACCCUUAUUGUUUGUCAGGAUCUGGCCGCUCAGCUUUGCUAUACAGCACGCAGGCUAAUGCUGCAUGGCCUGGCCUACAGAUGGAUCCUCUGCUCCUCUGUGUUCCAUCAAAUCUGGUCUUAGCCUCAUUUAUAUCCAUGGUCACCUGGUUGUUUCUCCUGUAAUGGCUGCCUGCUUGAUGUGUCCUUGACAUGUCAUGACAAGAAACAGAGAUGGAGAAUUGUCUGCGUUCAGUGCAGGAUUUUUCUGUUCUGUUUGGUGCCGAUGAAGGGGGAGAGCAGUUGUGAGCAGUUGAUGGCUGCCAUGAAUUUGCAGAGCAGAAGGGAUGAGGAGCUGCAGGUAUACAUGUGACCUUUAAAUCAUGCAUGCAGGGAGCUGUGUUUCUGAGUAAGCUAAUUACAGUAGGAACAUUUGUUUCUCACUUUGUCACAUGGGAUUUUUUCUAAUGAUGGAGAGAAUUGUUUGAAUAGACAAUAAAUAUAUUAAUAGAUUUUAGUCACUGUGUGGCUGUAAGACAAACGCACAGCUUGAAAGAAAUCAGAGCACUAGCUAACUCAAGGUUAUUUCCUGCUGCCUGUCCAUCCCCCGCCUGUGUCGGACUUUUGGGCGGCCUCCCUCAGUGUUCACAGUGGACCUUGAUUUAAAAUCAGUCAAUUAAGGCACGCGGUGAAUGCCAAGUGAGGAGCCUCGCUGCAGCACAGUGGCUCACACUGGAGAGGGAAUGUACUCAAAGCUGCUCCACAUAUGUGUGCUGUUCCUCCUUCCUCAGGGGAUCAGAGAAGUCCAAAGAAGUUUGAGUUCAUAAAUGCAUGUUUUUAAAGAAUGUAAAUGACGUUUUAUCUUGUAUGCUUAGAGGGGAUGAAGUAUUAGAGAGGAAAUUGUUGUACAAUGUCUGAAAUUGUCUUUAUGAUGUAUUUAAUAAAGUUGCAUUUGUUGUA